AAGUGGCGCACGGGUGCGUAACGCGUAUGCAACCUACCUUUAAUCGGGGAUAGCCCGAAGAAAUUCGGAUUAACACCGCAUAAAAACACAGUACAGCAUUGUAAUGUUCAAAUAUUUAUAGGAUUAAGAUGGGCAUGCGUGUCAUUAGCUAGUUGGCGGGGACGGCCCACCAAGGCGACGAUGACUAGGGGGAUCUGAGAGGAUGACCCCCCACACUGGCUGAGACACGGACCCAGACUCCUACGGGAGGCAGCAGUAAGGAAUAUUGGUCAAUGGAGAACUCUGAACCAGCCAUGCCGCGUGCAGGAAGACAGCCCUCUGGGUCGUAAACUGCUUAUUCGGGAAUAAACCUUAUUACGUGUAAUAAGCUGAAUGUACCGAAGGAAUAAGGAUGCUAACUCCGUGCCAGCAGCCGCGGUAAUACGGAGGAUCCAAGCGUUAUCCGGAUUUAGGGUUUAAAGGGUGCGUAGGCGGCUUAUUAAGUCAGGGGUGAAAGACGGUGGCUCAACUCGCAGUGCCCUUGAUACUGAUGAGCUUGAAUACACUAGAGGUAGGCGGAAUGUGACAUAGCGGUGAAAUGCAUAGAUAUGUCACAGAACACCGAUUGCGAAGGCAGCUUACUAUGGUGAUUGACGCUGAGGCACGAAAGCGUGGGGAUCAAACUAGGAUUAGAUACCCUGGUACCACGCCCUAAACGAUGAAUACUCGCUGUUAGCGAUAUACCAGUUAGCGGCUAAGCGA
This 741-nucleotide ribosomal RNA is filed under the name uncultured bacterium. RNAcentral's name for it is "bacterial SSU rRNA". It matches the Rfam family "Bacterial small subunit ribosomal RNA", at positions 93 to 854 of the family's 1533-position model. The record is from RNAcentral.